GACCCGCGUCUGAUUAGCUAGUUGGUAAGGUAACGGCUUACCAAGGCGACGAUCAGUAGCCGACCUGAGAGGGUGAUCGGCCACAUUGGAACUGAGACACGGUCCAAACUCCUACGGGAGGCAGCAGCGGGGAAUAUUGCACAAUGGGCGAAAGCCUGAUGCAGCAACGCCGCGUGAGUGAUGAAGGCCUUCGGGUCGUAAUACUCUGUCCUCAAGGAAGAUAAUGACGGUACUUGAGGAGGAAGCCCCGGCUAACUACGUGCCAGCAGCCGCGGUAAUACGUAGGGGGCUAGCGUUAUCCGGAUUUACUGGGCGUAAAGGGUGCGUAGGCGGUCUUUCAAGUCAGGAGUGAAAGGCUACGGCUCAACCGUAGUAAGCUCUUGAAACUGGGAGACUUGAGUGCAGGAGAGGAGAGUGGAAUUCCUAGUGUAGCGGUGAAAUGCGUAGAUAUUAGGAGGAACACCAGUUGCGAAGGCGGCUCUCUGGACUGUAACUGACGCUGAGGCACGAAAGCGUGGGGAGCAAACAGGAUUAGAUACCCUGGUAGUCCACGCUGUAAACGAUGAGUACUAGGUGUCGGGGGUUACCCCC
This 591-nucleotide ribosomal RNA is filed under the name Clostridioides difficile. RNAcentral describes it as "bacterial SSU rRNA". It matches the Rfam family "Bacterial small subunit ribosomal RNA", at positions 228 to 841 of the family's 1533-position model. The record is from RNAcentral. Lineage: Bacteria; Bacillati; Bacillota; Clostridia; Peptostreptococcales; Peptostreptococcaceae.